GACGAACGCUGGCGGCGUGCUUAACACAUGCAAGUCGAACGGAAAGGCCCUGCUUUUGUGGGGUGCUCGAGUGGCGAACGGGUGAGUAACACGUGAGUAACCUGCCCUUGACUUUGGGAUAACUUCAGGAAACUGGGGCUAAUACCGGAUAGGAGCUCCUGCUGCAUGGUGGGGGUUGGAAAGUUUCGGCGGUUGGGGAUGGACUCGCGGCUUAUCAGCUUGUUGGUGGGGUAGUGGCUUACCAAGGCUUUGACGGGUAGCCGGCCUGAGAGGGUGACCGGCCACAUUGGGACUGAGAUACGGCCCAGACUCCUACGGGAGGCAGCAGUGGGGAAUAUUGCACAAUGGGCGGAAGCCUGAUGCAGCGACGCCGCGUGCGGGAUGACGGCCUUCGGGUUGUAAACCGCUUUCGCCUGUGACGAAGCGUGAGUGGCGGUAAUGGGUAAAGAAGCACCGGCUAACUACGUG
Molecule: ribosomal RNA, 468 nt
Filed under: uncultured bacterium
Lineage: Bacteria
Description: partial 16S ribosomal RNA
Rfam family: Bacterial small subunit ribosomal RNA
Source: RNAcentral